CCUGGAAUAGAAAGUUUUGUAAAAAAAAAGGACUAUGCACCGAGGGAUGUUUUCGUUUGUUGCAAAUACCUGCGUUUUGUUCUCUGAGUUCGAUGGAAUCCCUAAUUUUAUUCGAUAGAUACUCUAUGUUGUUUUGUAGAUUGGCCAUUUCUUUCCUGAAAAAAAAACGACCCGUUUCCUUGAAUCAAGCGCUAUUCAAGCUCGCGAUACAAAACGAAUAAAAUAUAUGAAAGAAGAAAAUUACGUCUACUGUAUCAAAGUAUUGAGAAAAUAGCCAUGAGAUCAAUGAAGAUAAUAGAGAAAAAGUAGCAUAUAAAAUAGAGCAAAGUUCUACGAUAGGCACCUUGGAGGGGGUUUCCGAUUGAGCCGACUUCUUUUUCGGUAUUACUUUAACUUUGAGAUCAACUUUAACACGACGCUUCUUGUGCGAAGGCAAGGCAUCAGUCGUGUCAUUGUUCGCAUCGUUAUCAUCUUGGUCGGCGACCCCCCCUGCUAAUACACAACAAAGCUGCGGUCACGCAUAUGAAAAUGCCAAAUUUAUUACGUCUACGUGCGCUUGUCUACACUUUUUGCUCACACACACACACACACAUAGAGAUUUGGUGAAGGUGCAGUUGAAAUUCUACUGUAUACAUAUAGCUAUUGUAUAUUAUAGUUGAUUAUAUACACACAAACAUAUGCAGAUGUUUCAAUUUAAUCGCAGGUAAACAACGUCUGAGUUGGUAAGCUACCGGCGAGUAAUACAUUAUAAGUAGUGCAAAAUUGAGAAAAUUGUAAUAUCAAAAGUUCGCAUUUGAAAGUACAAAUUGAAUGUAUAAUACACGUUGAUAAAGAGAAACAAGGUCGAGCUGUGCUUGAACAGUAGAAAAGCACAACUCGACGCAAGUCGUCGAAAGAGUGUAGUGAAAAUGAAAGAAGUUCGCAAUUCAUGUAUAAGUCUCUGUCUUAGAUAACGCCAAGGAAAUGGUACUUGUGUUUCUGGUCGUUAGCUUCCAAGCGCUGUGUGAGAGAUUGGCAUUCCGCCGUAAGGCGCGAGACGAGCGAGGCCUGUUUGUUCAGGGAAUCUUCGAGACUGGCAACCGUUUUAGCUGGGAAACGCAACAACAAAUCGCUGCUGUUAGCCAAUUUUCACGAAAUUGACUAAUUGCAACAAUAAGUCUUCUAUAUAGACAAUAUACCUAACACAGCCACAUCAACAUCACAAGUGAGAGAGAGAGAGAGGAAGAGAAAAAGCAAUUGCUGUCAUCGCUCGGCUGUCUCACCCUGCUUGUUCUCCAGAUCGAAGAUCAGA
Nasonia vitripennis (jewel wasp) is the source of this 1291-nucleotide long non-coding RNA. RefSeq lists it as uncharacterized. The record is from RefSeq and is a predicted model, not a curated record. Lineage: Eukaryota; Metazoa; Arthropoda; Insecta; Hymenoptera; Pteromalidae. The transcript has 3 exons.